CUCAGGCGGCCCGCAGGGGGCGCCAAAGCCCCCUCUGACCCGCGGGCGCAGGACUCUCUGCCCUCAGACUGGGCUCGGUGAGCAGCUGGCGGGAGCUUUCUCUCCUCAGGGCCGUCAGGGCUCGGGCUUCUGACUGCUGCUGCUC
Long non-coding RNA from Cervus elaphus (red deer), 145 nucleotides. RefSeq lists it as uncharacterized. The transcript has 3 exons. The record is from RefSeq and is a predicted model, not a curated record. Lineage: Eukaryota; Metazoa; Chordata; Mammalia; Artiodactyla; Cervidae.